Molecule: long non-coding RNA, 378 nt
Filed under: Populus trichocarpa (black cottonwood)
Lineage: Eukaryota; Viridiplantae; Streptophyta; Magnoliopsida; Malpighiales; Salicaceae
Description: long non-coding RNA (PTRI_LNC001853)
Source: RNAcentral
AAAAAAAUCAAGCAAACCCGGACAAACCUCCUAAACCUGGUAUAAUAUCUAAAACCUGUAACUUGUGAAAUCUUGGACGUGGGUUCAAUCAACAAACUUAUCUUUUAACAAAUUUAAAUUUUAAAGAUGAAAUGACGGAAAAAUAUUAAAAAAAACAUGCAAAAGAAAAAAAAAACAACAAAAAGAAUGAGGAUAAAAUUUAAUUCAAAAAAACCCGAGGAUGAUGAAGGUUGAAAGAAAAUAAUACAAAUGAUCACAAACAAAGUAAAUUGCAAUAAUAAAAAAAAAGAGAAUCAAAUUCAAAAGACUAAAAAAUAGUAGAGGGUGGAAUAAAAAUAAAUUGUCGAGAGCUAACCCAAAAGAAUCAAAACACAAAAA